CUUUGGUUGAAUGGUUCAUGAGAAAAUGCACGGACACGACUGGAAACACCAUUUUUCAAUCUUUCAAGAACCAUAACUCCUGAACGGUAAAAGUCAAAAUCGUCAUUAUUUAACUUGACCUCUAUUUUGUCAUCAGUUACAACAUAUUAAAAUUUGGGAAGCUUUGGUAGAACAGUUCAUGCGUAAAUGCACGGACACAACUGGAAACUCCAUUUUUCAAUCUUUCAAGAACCAUAACUCCUGAACAGUAAAGGUCAAAAUCGUCAUUAUUGAACUUGACCUCCAUUUUGUCAUCAGUAACAACAUAUUAAAAUUUGGGAAGCUUUGGUAGAACAGUUCAUGCGUAAAUGCACGGACACGACUGAAAACUCCAUUUUUCAAUCUUUCAAGAACCAUAACUCC
Molecule: long non-coding RNA, 402 nt
Filed under: Mytilus galloprovincialis (Mediterranean mussel)
Lineage: Eukaryota; Metazoa; Mollusca; Bivalvia; Mytilida; Mytilidae
Source: RNAcentral